RNAcentral lists this ribosomal RNA (337 nucleotides) under Pyramidula sp. 2 OR-2015. Its description in RNAcentral is "partial 16S ribosomal RNA". Lineage: Eukaryota; Metazoa; Mollusca; Gastropoda; Stylommatophora; Pyramidulidae. The record is from RNAcentral.
UUGACUGUGCUAAGGUAGCAUAAUAAAUUGGCUUUUAAUUGAAGUCGGGAAUGAAAGGGUGUUUGGAGUUAUCCUGUCUUAUUUUUAUUUUUUAAAAAUUACUCAUGAGGUGAAAAUUCCUCAAUUAUUAUCUGAUAGACGAGAAGACCCUAAGAAUUAUGACAAAUUAAUUAAAAUGAAUUAAUAAAAGUUUUUGUUGGGGCAACAACUUUGGAAGGUAAUAACCAAGGUAAUUAACUUUAUCUUAGAAAGAUUAUAUUAAAAAUGGAUUUAAUUACCUUAGGGAUAACAGCAUAAUUAUAUUUUAGAUUGUGACCUCGAUGUUGGAUUAAGGCCU